Molecule: long non-coding RNA, 198 nt
Organism: Helianthus annuus (common sunflower)
Lineage: Eukaryota; Viridiplantae; Streptophyta; Magnoliopsida; Asterales; Asteraceae
Exons: 2
Source: RefSeq, a predicted model, not a curated record
GAAGGUCAAGGAAGUUGGUGACCUGAUGACAGGGGAGCCGGCGACCGAAGCCUCGGUGAACGGCGGUCGUAACUAUAACGGUCCUAAGGUAGCGAAAUUCCUUGUCGGGUAAGUUCCGACCCGCACGAAAGGCGUAACGAUCUGGGCACUGUCUCGGAGAGAGGCUCGGUGAAAUAGACAUGUCUGUGAAGAUGCGGA